Hermetia illucens (black soldier fly) is the source of this 10943-nucleotide long non-coding RNA. RefSeq lists it as uncharacterized. The transcript is spliced from 2 exons. NCBI's taxonomy places the organism in Eukaryota, Metazoa, Arthropoda, Insecta, Diptera, Stratiomyidae. The record is from RefSeq and is a predicted model, not a curated record.
CAUGAGUUUACGUUACUGUUACGAAUUUUUUUAAAUAAAAAAAUGGGAAAGUGGUAAAUACCGCAAAUUCGACCAAACAACUAAAGGAUAGAGCUUUUCAAGGUUGCUAUUAUAACAAGUUUGAAAAUAGGGUUUCUAACAUUAUCAAUGAGGCUUUCCUUAAUUUAGGGUUUGCUCAUAUUCCUUGCAGGGAAUACUGCUAUCUUAAGAUUACUGGCAUUAUAAUACUGGGUGAUGGUUUCUCCUUUAAAACCAUGGCAAAACAUCAUGCUAGUCUCUCUUCGUGUGACCUAGCACACAACAGACCGGCUCUUUUUACUAUAUUAGUUUUCUCAAAAUGAAACCUGAAAUAAUCGCUUAGAGCGAAGAGUUUUGCUUCUUGAAUGAUUUAGGCUAUACAACGUUGAUUCAAUUUAGUGCUAUGUUGAAAUGGAGUAAUGAUGUUAUAUCAUGCUUGAGCAGAUAACCUUGUUCACUGUGCGAGAAUUACAUAAUGGGCAGGUUCCUGCGAUCAGGAACUAUUUUCGGUGGUAUCUACAUUUUCCCCCGAAAACCAAGAUUCGGUAUUCUUAGGUUUGAAAGAUUGCUCCCUACUUGAUGAAAUUAGAUGAACCCCAUUCAAACGAAGAACGUUAUUGAAGAGUAUCAUGUUAGCUACAGAACUAGAGCCUCUGCAAUAUUCACGUCAUACGUAAUUACCUCAACAUUCUGCAGAAAAAAAAUAUAAUUCAAUUUGCAUCAUCUUGUAAAACCAACCAUGGUAGACUAAGUUUUAAAUGAAAACAGUUUAAUUAAUGCUUUCUCAACUAAGAUCGAGAAACGAAAUGUUUUAGGCAAUUUUUUUUUUUGAUACGAGAACUUUGUUACUCUUUCAAUUAACUCAACAUAAUUUCACGCUCAUUUUUGAAAAUAAAACCUUGGCGAUGCGACGAAAGGAUUAAGGUUGCGCAUAAAUGACAACAAAGCUAAACUCAACGCUCAAUAGACCUUUAGACAAAUCACCACAAUUAGUGAUUACACUUCAAAAAACAUGAAUAACUUUACAUAUCUACUAUAUUUCAUAUAAUCUAUUAAAAGAUGCAAAAAACACAAAGAAAAAUAAAUGAAAUGAAGAAUAUGGCUUGCGAGUAGAAUGACAAAAAUGUGACAAAAUAUGAAAUUAGACCUUACAAUUUCAAAUAAAUGAAUGACUGCGUGCAAUUGAAGGCAGCACUAACAAACGUCCCCAGCAAAAUGGACGAAACCAAAAAAUCAUUCAUGUUUACAAACAAAGUCGCUAUCAAUAACAAGUCAGAAUAUCGGAGGCUGAGCGUUUCGGGUAUAACGGUUUUGUAAUCAUCUUGUGCGAGAAAUUUCCUAUCCUCCGUAUUUCAUUCCUGACUAAACUAACUAAAAAUUCAAAAUAUUCCUUGAUACAUCCAACUGUGCCAUUCAAAUGAGUUCACUUUAUAUAAUCAUGACGUCAUACACGUUUUAGAUUGCGAUUAAUUCACGUGAAAUAAAAAACUUUGAUCUUCUAUGACUUUGAAACUUUGAUUUUGAUAGCUUCUGAGAACGAGACCUGUUACACCUUUCGUGGCAUACAUUUUGAGCACUCAUCCCACUAUGUUUCACCCGAUAUCAGAAAUAACAAAUGAGCUCUCACUCUCCUACGUUUCCCCCAAAUAAAAUCAUUUUCGAAAAGUGCUAACUACUAAUCGAUCCCUUUCUGACCCUUGACCCUCUUAAACUCAACGCAAAAUGACACCACUUGCUGUAUGUAAAGAGAUUCACAGGCGACAUUUUCUCACCGAAUUUAUUGGCAAUAACCUCAGCCGUUUCCAAACAAAUCAGGUGUGAUAGACAGAUGGAGAGACAGACAGACAUUUUACUAAGCUUUUUUUACACAAAACCUAUGUACAGGAAAACGUUGGUAGAAUAUGCAAAAUUUUGAUUUCGCCGAUCCCUUCGAGUGUCGAGUUCUCAAAAGAAUUGUAGUCCCAGUGGGGGAGCCCAACAUAUGGCAAAUUAGGUAAAAGAAAGGGAGUUAUAGCUCUUAUACAGCGAACGAGAUGCCGUUAUUCAUAUAAAAAUUCAAAAAUUUCGGUGGAAGUCCAGUAAAUAGAUAUCAAACAUUCCGGCUUCCUCAAAGUCAACGCAAAAGAUAAGCGACCACGUGGAAGCUCUAAAGCAAAUGGAACUCAGGGGGACAACGCGAGAUAUGCUUUGCUAGUUUCUAUGAAUUGUACGACACAGUCGCUGGGACUGUUUCACUAUCGGAGAAUAAACAAAGUAAAGGGAGAAUUAUGUGAAAACGAACCUCCGCAUCUAUAAAACAGUCACCAAACCGGCUUUACCUUACGGCUAUGAGACUUCAACCUCAAAUCAAGCUCUACGAAAGUAUAUACUAAACUUUCUGGAGAGAAGGGUACUGAGAAAAAUUGUAGCAGCAGUUUGAGAGAAUGAUAUAUGUAUGGCGAUUUAAGUGCGAUAGGGAGUUGUACAUUGUGGGUAUGCGUUGAACGAAAAAUAUGAACCACGAUAAAGUUGCGAAACGGACAAUUACAUUCACAGAAUGGAUGACUGGAGAGUACUCGAAAAGGUAUCAAAGAGAACUAGUGAAAUCAUAUUAGCCGGAAUGCCUGGAAAACACUGCCAAAUUCAGUCCAGAUCAAAAGUUCAUCAAGAUCCAACACAUCUGAGUAGACAAAGUGCAUGACAAACUGAAGUGCUAUUUUGUCAACUGAGAAUGCCGAGAACAUGACCACGGCCACGAUAAACUGCGUUCUAAUAUUUCCGAACUUCAAUUAUAGAUUCGAUGACAGAUAUUUCAUACAACCACUUACGUGGACAAUUAAUAAAGCGGUUGAGUUCCAGUAAGAGAAAACGAGGCAGCUCACGGAGAGUACUUCCAUGGGCGACGAAAAACCCUCCCAGUUCCUCUGCCGCGUGCAGCGCCUCACCGGUCCCGCGGUUCUAGAGGCGCUGAUGUUGCUAGGGUCUUAAGAGGUAAGCAGGGAUACGCGCAGUUAAAUAGUAGCUUCUCUUCGUGAAUGCAUCCAGACGGAAACGUCAACAUUCUCCAUCCAGGGUAUGCUACUGUGCAGCUCGAAAAAUCUUCGUACCUAGAAUACAUAUUGGUACCACUAUAGAUUGAUUCAAUUCCGGAGCCGUGAAAUGAACGAAAUAAUGUAAUUGGACUUCGGAUAAUACGAAUGGCCCCGUUUCAUCCCUUUCACGAUGACUGCCUUUGUCCAUCCGAAUUAUAAAAAACACAAUUGCCUGUAGGCACAUGCGCCGAAAUAAGCAUUUACCCGCGGUCCAAAAACAAAGAACCAUAUAAAAAGAGACGUUGCAAGGCAGUCAGGUGAAGCCGACAGCAUCAGCACACUUCGCAAUAACCAAAAGGUGCAAACAGUGGCGUCAAUAUCUCAGCAAUCAAUUUAACACAGCACGUCGCAAAAUGAAUCUAUAAACAGUUUGCUAGACACUGCUCCUGCGGCAAUUACCAGCACGUCUAUUAGUAAUAUGGAUCGACUCGAACCUUCUUACCCGAUGGCAAGCGACAUCGAAGGAAACUGGAUCUCGAACCAACACCAGGAAACAAUAGCAACAAUACAUGCUCCCAGGAGAGAUAUCCCAAAAACUGAUCUAACUCCGGUUCAAAAACUAGCAGUUGCAAACCCAACGAAAUCCGGCGGAUGAGUUAGAUUUCCUGAUCAUUACCAGGCAGGCCUUCAGAAGUUCAACUAUACAAACAUCACAAAUUCAUAGCUGGCGUCACGAUAGGGGCAGCCUGGGUUUAGAAUUUGUUUAAUUAUCUUUCUUUCCAACCGAAGUGAUCUACUCCCUAAAAAUUAACUAAUUUCUAGAAGGUUAAGUAGAGCAGACACUCGAUGGAAGAGGGAGUCUACUCACAGCUCUCACUUUGUGAACACGACAAUGAGAAGCAGGUCAGAUGUUGCAUUUGAAUAAAUUUAUCAAAUUUAUAUCAAGGCUCUUAUUGAAUUUUUGCUGUAAGCCAUUAACCUCAUUUGAUAAUUCCCAAGGUUCCAUCCGAAUGAUUGCAGCAACAGAUGGUCUCCCGUUUGUCAGCAUGCUUCUCGAUGGGGUUUUCAACUUUUAGAGUCUCACAGUAUCUCGCUGCGUUGAUGGUCUCUCCUGGGCCAGAUAUUUAAUCAAUAUCGGUGUUACGUCACUGUUUUUCAGGCGUGUAGUGAGCAACCUAAGUCUCAUUUCCAGUUAACGUCAUUUUUCGCAAGAGGUGCUCCUGGGGUAAGUGUUUGAAGCAUACCAACUUCAUAUUGGUCUCCUUUUGAAGGGGAGUCAAGCUGCACAAUAGUAUUGCCAACGUUAGUUAGCCAAGUUAGUACCGACCGGUGAAAUUCACAUUUUAGUAACAGAUUUUUAGCGUUUAAAUCGAUUGUUACACAUCAUUCUCUGAAACAUAUGAAUAUAAAGAAAGGUAAAUUAUGAGAAAUAGGGUUCUCCGAUGCUUCCUUUUAGGAAGUAUGUAGUUUGAAGAGCAAUUGCAUAACUCAUGACUCGCUUAUGAUUAGCUGUUCUCAUUGGAACCUGCGCAGCUCUGGAAGUUGAUUUACUUUGGAAGUAUUAAUAAGUUGUUGAUAUGAGUUUUUUUGCUGAACCAUGGAAGUGGCGUCUUCGAAAAAGUCUCAGUGGAGACGACCGAUGCACAUGAUUUACCCUUCAAUCGCUCGCCCGGUCGUUAGAUAUCAUUUCGCCAAUUAUCCUGUUUUUCCUAUAUAGCUAUCGCUUGCUUUUUCCUUUCCGUUGCUUCUUGCCAUCUGUCUUCCAACUGUAAUAUGUGCUACCUCUACCAGGUGAUGCACUCGCGAAAUAUUGGUCCUCCACGCCGUGAAAUAACUGCAAGAAUAUUGCGUCUUCUUCCUCUCCCGGGCAAGUCGGACAUAUUGACGAAUCGUCAUACCCAAUCCUGUCUAGGUAUUUGUAGUAGCCUCUAUGGCCAGUUACUAACUCAGUUAAGUGGUAACUACAUUCUCUGUUGUAAUGAUUAACACACAUAUCUCUUCGUCGAGCUCUCCUACGUCCAUUCCGACAUUUAAUCAAUAAUAGUGUCCUUUGUUCGUUCUUCGGCAGUCGAUCUCCUAGUGUAAAUUUGUGACAGUUUUUCCUUUUGAAAUCCGCCACUAUAAUUCCGGCAAUUUCCAGCCAAUCUUUCAUCUUGCAGAUUAUUUCUUUUAUUACUGUCUGAAUCUAAUGGAUUUGCUUUGCCAUAACAACCGCGGCAACAUCGUUUUUGAAAACAACCAUUUUUAGUCCCACUUGAAGAGGCAGACAUAAGACUCCAUUAUACAUGAUAUUUCCCUAGAAUAGACCCAGCAUCAGCCCCUGAGAAACCUCGGAUGAGGCGAAUGUAGUAUUGAUUUGUGCUUCGUUACUCAUGUAUUUUAGCUCCCUAUAGGAGAAAUAAUUAGCCACUAUGUUCCUCAACUGCACUGAAUGGCGCAAUACUCCAUUGAUCCUCAGCGCCAUCUUCACCUCAUAUGGCAGUGUCUGGAGGGAUCUCCUAAAUCCAAACUCCUUCCUUUUUAACCUUUUCUAAUAAUCUGUUGGUAAUUACUCCUUCUUACAUUGAGUUGUAACAUAUAAUGGGGGACCUUCAGUUAGCUGUUUCUUUUUGGUAACGUAAUCAAACGUUAAUAGAUCAAUUUUUUAGAGAACAUCCCUUCAUCGAGGGCUGCACUGCCUUGUUCGGAAUACCAUCAGAUACCGAGACUUGUUGCUUAUUCUCUUACAUACUUUCAGCAAUUUAUCUUUCGUGAUACAAGGUGUGUUCUCUGAAUUGGCGGUUCUAUGAUAAUUGCUUCAUUCACAGGGUCGAUAUUUUUGGGAAUGCUGCCUUCACUAUUAAUCUCAUUAUUGUUGGACAAGUUAUUUGCAAUGAUUUCUUCCCCUUCAUUUUAGCCGCCAUCACACUGUAGACAGUAUCUCAAUGGUUUAGGUCAGCUUCGUUGCAGGGGAUUCUAAAGCUUCUAGGCGGGCAUAUCCUGCUCUUCUUGGCUGCUGGAGUGAGCGCACAUCUAAGCACAUUUAUAUGCUAGCAGGCUCUGUUUAUAGUUACUGGACAGGCUCUGUACAUGGUUUAUUGUAAUUACUACAAACAUCAUUAUGGAGAUCACAGCAAAUUACGUAAACAUUCCGCAGUUUCGUAAACCGCCUUUUUAUUACCAAAGUUUUGGUAAUUUUGGCACUACAUUUUCUAUAUGAUUCAUAAAUAAAAAUUUUCCAAAGAAGAAGAUACCUCUAGUUAUAGAUUCUCUGCGUCCAUAUUUGAGAUAAAAUUGACCUGUUACCUACAGGUUUAGAAAAUGCAAAAUUUAGGUCUCGCUAGGAAGUGAUGUGAAUACUUGAUUUGCGACCCUAGACAGGACAAAUUAUCAACGGUUGGCCAGUGUGAUUUCCACCAUAUAAUUCGGCUUGCCUUUAAUUAGUGUACAACCGAAGAUCUAACGCCAACUGGUCGAUGCAGGCAGUUUAUACAUCUGGGGUUGUUUUGCAUAAUAUAAAUAUCAUCAGCAUAGGUCAGAACUAGGGCGAACUUGAAAAAGAUAGUGUUUCUCGCAUUGACAUCAACAUCACGGAUCAUUUUUUCCGAGGCAGGUUAAAAGGGAUGCUUGACAUCCCCUUGUCUUAGACCAUUGUUGACCAUGAAAGGUACCGAGGGUGAUCCUGCUACUCUGCAUUCCCACCGUCAGGAUCGGGGUCUGCCUAAACAACCUCAGUUUUGUCGGGAUUUCUCAUGGCUAUGUAAAGUUUUACUCUCGCUAUUUUAUGUAGGCAACGUUGGAGUCGAAGGAAAUAUGGUGUAACUGAUGUGCAUAUUCCAACAGCUUUUCCUUCGCAUAUCGCACGGAAAUUUGAUAUAUUACUGUAUGUUCACGCAUUUGUUGGUUCUAUCGGACUUCCUUGUUUUGUCUGUGAAGGCGCUUUUUAACUCGACGGAGUUCAAAGUAAGUCUCUGAUGGUGCCCAUGUACUUUGAAUUGCUGGCUUUCAAUCAUCAUUGAGCCACUCGUUCUGACUUUUUUGGGGGCUGGAGUCGAACAUGUUUGUAGUUGUACCAAUCAUAACGUUUAGAUGAUUGGACAUCUGGUAGCUGCGGUUAUUACGGUAAUCUUUUCACCGUUGUAGACUGGUGAAGAUUUGAUGUGGUGUUGUUUUUUGAGCUCGGAGCACUAUGUCAACAAAGUAGUGAUCCGAGUGUAUAGUGGCCCCUUUAUAUAUUCUGUCACUCAUGAAGACUAAGAGGUGGCGGCGUUCGAUUAUGACGUGGUCGAUUUAGUUGAAAGUGGUACCAUCUGGAGGGACCUAUGUAUAUUUGUGAUACUUCCAACAACCAUUUCUGGUGACACCGCUAGUUGAAUAUGCGGCAGCCCCUUAUCAUGGGUAAUUCUACAUCGCUCUUCUCUAGGAAACCAGACAACAUCCAGCGUAUUUCUUUAACAUUGGGACAGGGUACCGGCUAGCUCCUAACCAGUAUUAAUGCAGAGUCUCGUAUUACUGUUUGGCCAUGUAGAAAUGAAACCCUUCAAGAACAAGGCCUAUAACAAAAUUUGAAAAGGACAGUUAGUUGGCCAUAUACAUGCGUGGGAAGGCUGAAUCUCGUCCUUAGAUUUACCGAGUCAUUCACACAUCCCACAUUUAGGUGUUUUAAUUUUGACAAUCAUCAGAUUGAGUCCUUAUACAUAAUAGGCAUUUUUUUCGAAUGAGAGUUUUAUAUUUGGAUAAUUGUGUUCUAGAUAACUCAAGUCCGGUUCCCCUUGUACUCUUUUAAAGGUUUUAUAUAAAAACCUUAUUAAGAUCGGUUGACAGUUUGUCUCUCUAUCCGUCUGUAUGUCUGUCACACGACCUUUUCUGGAAAAAACUAGACCUAUUGCGAUGACAUUUGGUAAGCAUUUGCAGACCUUGAAAUCCGAGCAUGUAGUGAAAAGCAUGUUUUUGUAUUGAAUUUAAGCGAAGAGAAAAUGCAAAAUGUUUUUCUUCAAAUAUAAUUUUAAAAAGUUUCGGUUAGCCCUUUAUGAAACAGAUCCCACAUUUGACAAUGGUUGCAAAGUAUGGUAGUCAGGGAUCAAUAAAUACAAAUUUUAAGUGAGUUUGAACUGAUACUCAGAAACUAUUCAACAUAAAAGUUUGAACAACAGUCAUGAAGAGGAGGCCCUCGAGGCCUCAAAGUACAUAUAUAUCAUACCGAUCUCUGUUCAAACGAAACUAAUACUACGUACGUACGUACGUAUAUUACUAUUUUUCCGAAUUUUCCCUUAAAUUCAUUAUCGUAUUACAAAAUCGCAGAAGCUUAAAACAACAUAAGGUAUUAUACAAUAUUAGAAAGUUUGAAGGAACUCGUUGUCUAUUUCGUGGCAAUUUACUGCAGCCUAAAACAACAUAGAACACUAGCACCAUAUUAAACUGUCCGACAUACUAAAUUAAAAUGGAAUCGUUAUGUAACGAAACAUUCUCAAAUACGAAUUACACAAAAUAUUUCAUACCUGAAACGCCGAACUUCCGGUUACCCAAGCUGAGCAAUACUGAAAAUGCGUUGAUGGAAUUUGCAGACUAAAGCUGAAUAGAUUCAGUUAGGAUCAUUAACCAGGUUACCUAGGUAGGACUAAAUGUGAAUAGAUUCAGUUAGAAUCAUUAACGAGGUUACCUAGGUGAUACCCCUGAGAAAAUAGUUUGGUAACUUCGUAUUUGGGUAUCAAAGGGUAUCUCAAAAUGAACACCACAUACGGCGAACCAUUUUGAAGAAGAAAUCAAAGAAAAGUUGAAUAUUAGUUCCAUGUAUGUACAUAGUAUCUGCUGAUAUCUACACUUCUCUCCCUUCCAUAGCGUCAGGCCUAACGAGAGAUCAGAUUUUCUCCGCUUGGCCCUGUACAGCGCGUUUACUAUUUUCGCGCUCCGAAAAUGUCGACCCUUGACAAUGCUCUUCAACUUCCCCAGAUCCUACCGACAGCCACUUGUCAACAUUCCUGGAAUUUAAGGGUUCUGUUGAGUCCUACUCAAACAGUCAGCAAUUUUAUUUUCGCCCUUUCUUACUAGUGACCUAUUCACUGCCACUUCUACGUCUCAAUAAACAGCUCUACAGACGUCUUGCCGGCACGCCUGCAUCACAGGUCAUUACAGAUACUCUUCGUUGACGCUGACAAAAGCUGCCUCAAGUUAAAAAAAAAAGAGGAAGUGAAAUGGGCAACUAGAGUGCAGGCACUGUUCUACAAUGAUUCAUAAGGUGUUAUUGUGAUCAAUGCAGGGAGUCCCAGGGUGGGCCUUCUAUACAUAUUAUUUCAUUUACUUUUGUAAAUAAAUAAUUAAAAUUAAAAAAACAUUGACUUUGAUGCAGCACGAAGCACGUCAAAGUUUGCAACUCCCAAGCCUCAAUGCUGGUUUUGGAUUUUUGAUUUAGUUAUCCAGGAACGUUGUAGCGCUUUCAGUUUCUCAAAUGGAAGGAUUUCAUUACCCAAAGGCAUCUAAAUUAUACGUAAAUCAUAAAGAUACUUUGACAAAGUCUUAGAAAUUCAAUUUUGCAACAUGAAAUAUUUUUUUUUCUUUCUCCUAGAAAUAACUCUCUUGGCAUUCUCGAAAGAAGUUAUUCAAAUUUCCACAUUUCAAGCCUCAUCCUCUUACUAAUUAUUAUUGUAAUAUAGUAAUAAAUUGUCUGACUGUAAACUUUAUCAGAAAUAAAUAAAAACGACAGAUUUAAGAACUAGACUAGGAUUUCGCUCGAUUUGACUCUCAAACCAUAAUACAGCUAGAGAAACCAUUGAAAUAAGCAGAUAUAUCCGAAAGUGAGGAAUAUAAAUCCAGGAUCUGUGAAGCAGACUCGAUUUUAUAACCACACAAUUAUUCCAAGGGAAUCGCAUUAACAGAUUCACCGAAAAUCCAAAAUCAUUCAAUUUAGAAACACUAUCCGAUAAAGAGCCUCUUAUUCUAAAUCUUCAAAGAAAAAAACAUUUACCAAGUUAAGACAAAAAACAAAAAGCAAAACCACAAAUUUUAGAUGUAGCGAAAAUUCAGUGAGAAGAGAACUAAAGGAUUUUUAGUUACCCUUUCGUAUUCCAUUUUUAUAUACAAAUAAGUGGAAAAUUUCAAACAACUCACAUUUUAUAUGCAUAUAUAUAAAAAUGUAGUAGAAAGUUACCCUUUUCUGUUGUUUUAUUUGCCAUUUCUAUUUCUAAACGAAGGAAAAGAAAUAUGUUGAAAUGAAAUGAAAAUUAAAUUAUUAUGAGAUCACGUCUAAACCAGAGAAACAAAACCUAUGACAUAUAUGAAAGCACCGUCCGCAUUAAUAUGUUAUGAAACAUUAUAUAUUGAAGAGAAAUGACAAACGACAACUAAUAUUAAAAACUAAAUCCUAUAUCAAUUAAAAGUCAAGAAUUUAUCUCUAGAGCAACAUCAAUCCGUUAACAGUGAGCUAAAAGAUAUAAUCUCUCACCUGCAAAAUUGUUAAUGAAAAAUUUCCAUAGAAAAUGUUCAACUUUGAAAGAAAUACAAUAAUAAAAAAAUAUAAAUGAUAAAAAAGUCUUUUGUGGCCAAAAUUUAAGAGAUAAAAAUACACCCAUAACAUUAAAAUAAAGUUUUAUAUUGUAUUAGUCGAGAGAAAGCUGUUCUAGUGAAAGUAAAUAUGCCUGACUAAAUUGCGACGAUAGAACGAAUGAAAAAAAUGAAAAUUGAGUCUUAAUAGCAACAGAAAAUAAAUUUAAUAAAUCUCAUAAAUAUGGCAAGGUGUCACCAAAAAGUCUUUUAUCUAUUGUACCUAAAUAUAUGGGUUCUGGUCUAAAGUUUGCUUGUAAACAAAGGAAUUCAAGAGUAUUUAAACAAAAGCAAAAGAGAAACUGUAUAAGACGAUAGUUAUGGCUAUGAAAAUUCAAAUGAAACAUAGUUCUUUUCUGUUUUUAUAAGUUUUAUAAAAAUAAAAUCAUAUUUACUGAA